GAUUGUCGAGUUCUGAGUCCCGAGGCGUCGUCGAUAUGGCAACCAGGCCAACAGAACAGGCGGGGCUGGCCAAGAGGGAGAGUGGGGAUGUCCUCGUUCCAGGACCUCGACUUUCGCUUCGUGUCGAUCCGAUGCGAUUCGGCUGCGCUUUCGGUUCGGUUUCGGCUUUCGACGCGCUGCACUCGCUGCGACCAGAGUUUUGAAGUUCCCGCUGGCCAGGACUCGCAUCAGUUGCCGCCGACUUGUUGGGUCAUUUGCAUAUAAAUCGAUCAGUGCGCCAGUAAUCGGUCGACGGAACAUAAACAUUCUAACUACACUAACGAUCAAUUAGUAGUGUCGCGAUAUCGCCAAGUGAUUACACUCUAUUUCCUCGAAAUAAAUAAAUAUCUUAAAUAACUGAUUUUCCCGCCCGCAAUGUCAAGGACGUUGUCGCAUUGUCGUUGCCAUCCACAUCCACUCGGUCGAAGCUAAUUUCAUUGGGGGGCAAACGAGGGAAUCGGGCCAAAAGGCUGGCGCCCGCCGGUGGGAAUUUCAUCAGCUGUUGUUGUUUAUUCUGCAGCGGCAACAGCGGCAGUCGGCCUAAUAAAAAUGCAAUUUUUAUGGUUAAGAAAAUAGAGCGCGGCCGCCGUUGGGUUGCACAUUGGAAAUUGUGCAGAAGCCAGAAGAAAAUGUGUCUUGGAAAAUGGAAAAGCCCGAGUAUCACCAGCAGCAGUAGCAAUAACAUUGAGCGAGUGAUGUAAUACAGAGCAAAAGUGAAGCGGCAAUUGGCAUUGCAAAAAAGAAACAGAUUAUACAAUUUGUGUUGCUGCUGGAGUGAACUAGGACAACAGCAGCAACAUCAGCGGCAACAACAGUUGCAAUUGCAGCAGCAACACUUGAAGCGGCAACAGCAGCAACA
Molecule: non-coding RNA, 898 nt
Organism: Drosophila suzukii
Lineage: Eukaryota; Metazoa; Arthropoda; Insecta; Diptera; Drosophilidae
Source: RefSeq, a predicted model, not a curated record